This 759-nucleotide ribosomal RNA is filed under the name uncultured rumen protozoa. RNAcentral's name for it is "bacterial SSU rRNA". It matches the Rfam family "Eukaryotic small subunit ribosomal RNA", at positions 777 to 1765 of the family's 1831-position model. The record is from RNAcentral.
GAUGUAAGCUACGUUCGGAAGCAUGCCAGAUGUUUCAUAAUCAGACGAAGAUAGGGAUCAAGACCAUCAGAUCCGUCUAGUCCUUCCAUAACUAUGCCGACUAGGGAUUGAAUGAAAUCGCCAUUCAGUACCUUAUGAGAAAUCAAAGUCUUGGUCUGGGGGAGUAUGCCGCAAGACUGAACUUAAAGAAAUUGACCGAAGCAGCACCAGAGUGAGCCUGCGCCUAAUUUGACUCAACACGGGAAGACAUAGACAGGUCCAGACAUAGUAAGGAUUGACAGAUGAUAGCUCUUUCUUGCUUAUGGGUGGUGGUGCGUGCCGUCUUAGUUGGUGGAGUGAUUUGUCUGGUUAAUUCCGAUAACGAACGAGACCUUAACCUGCUAACUAGAUUCUAUCAUCUUAUGAUUGUUAUCUUCUUAGAGGGACUAUGUAAAACAAAUACAUGGAAGUUUGAGGCAAUAACAGGUCAGUGAUGCCCUUAUAUGUCCUGGGCUGCACGCGUGCUACACUGAUGCAUACAACAAGUGCCUAACCAGACAUGGUAUGGCAAUCUCGAAUAUGCAUCGUGAUAGGGAUAGAUCUUUGCAAUUAUAGAUCUUGAACGAGGAAUUCCUAGUAAGUGCAAGUCAUCAUCUUGCAUUGACUAUGUCCCUGCCCUUUGUACACACCGCCCGUCGCUCCUACCGAUACCGGGUGAUCCGGUGACCUUUGCCCUUACGUUAAAAUACCAACACCGGAGGAAGGAGAACGAAGUAAGCC